RNAcentral lists this long non-coding RNA (274 nucleotides) under Brassica napus (rape). Its description in RNAcentral is "long non-coding RNA (BNAP_LNC001494)". The record is from RNAcentral. Lineage: Eukaryota; Viridiplantae; Streptophyta; Magnoliopsida; Brassicales; Brassicaceae.
GGGUUUCUAGCAUCUUCCACCGACCUCUCGAUUCUCCACCGCCGUUGGUGUAUUCUCCACCACUAAUCCACUAUCUUCACCAUUUCAAUCGCCACCAUUCACAGACUUCAAACAGCCUCUGUAAUUACCAUCUAUUGCCAGUCGCCUAAGCAAAUGAUCUCGUUCUUCAAUCACCAUCUUCAUUUAACCCUAGAGAUCUUGUAGAAACCGAGAUGUAGACCAUUUGUUAAGACAUCUAAUGAAAACCCCAACUCUUCUUAAUCUAAUCUCUCCC